CUGGAAUUACAGGCGCAACAGAUACACAACACACAGGCAAUUUGUUUGAUGGUGCUAAGGAUACCUAGGGCACAAGGUGCGAGUCCCUCUACCCUCAUAUGCUGUGACGGAAUUCCUUUGCCUCUGAGGAGUAUCAAGGAUUCAAUGCACCUGAGUGAUGGAUGGGACAAUUCACUGCACAGUGGAGGUGGUUGAGCUGGCAAUGAGCAUGGUAAUGGUUCUGAUGACCCUUGAAAGGCCAAAUAAGUCUCCUUCAUCAGGACUGAUGGGCUGGAAUAUAUGGACACUAUUUAAAAUUUUAUGUAUGCUUUAUAUCCUUAUAAAUAAAUUGCUCUUUACUAUAUGUAUUGUAUUUUGAUAAAUAAUAAAAAUUCUCAUUAAC
Molecule: long non-coding RNA, 382 nt
Organism: Ostrea edulis (European flat oyster)
Lineage: Eukaryota; Metazoa; Mollusca; Bivalvia; Ostreida; Ostreidae
Exons: 2
Source: RefSeq, a predicted model, not a curated record